This 445-nucleotide ribosomal RNA is filed under the name uncultured bacterium. Its description in RNAcentral is "bacterial SSU rRNA". The stretch from base 50 to 445 matches the Rfam family "Bacterial small subunit ribosomal RNA", at positions 1 to 401 of the family's 1533-position model. The record is from RNAcentral.
UGCUUAGGCACUGGUGAUUACCCUGAGCAGUAUUGUUUUAAAAUGGAUUGAACGAGAGAGUUUGAUCCUGGCUCAGAUUGAACGCUGGCGGCAUGCCUAACACAUGCAAGUCGAACGGUAGCAGGCCUUCGGGUGCUGACGAGUGGCGGACGGGUGAGUAAUGCGUAGGAAUCUGUCUUUUAGUGGGGGACAACCCAGGGAAACUUGGGCUAAUACCGCAUGAGCCCUGAGGGGGAAAGCGGGGGAUCUUCGGACCUCGCGCUAAGAGAAGAGCCUACGUCUGAUUAGCUAGUUGGUAGGGUAAAGGCCUACCAAGGCGACGAUCAGUAGCUGGUCUGAGAGGACGACCAGCCACACUGGGACUGAGACACGGCCCAGGCUCCUACGGGAGGCAGCAGUGGGGAAUUUUUCGCAAUGGGGGCAACCCUGACGAAGCAAUGCCGCG